CAGAAGUCUUGCUCAAUGCUCCUGGCUGAAUAAACCAUUUCCUUCUUUAACUCAGUGUCUGAGGAGUUUUGUCUGCGGCUCGUCCUGCUACAUUUCUUGGUUCCCUGACCGGGAAGCGAGGUGAUUGGCAGAUGGUCGAGGCAGCUCCUUAGGCGGCUAAAGCCUGCCCUGUGGAACAUCCCUGCAGGGGACUCUGACCAGCCUGAGCGACGUGGAUCCUGAGAGCGCUUCUGGGUAGGCAUUUGCCCCAGUGGGAUGCCUCACCAGAGCAGUGUGUGGAAGGCCCCCAUGGAGUCUCAACACGGUGGCUGAACACCGGGAAGGAACUGGUAUUUGGAGUCCGGACAUCUGAAACUUGGUCAGUGAGAGAGCAUAUGCCCUGGUAGAUUCCUGAGAAAAGGAACAGGAGGAUGAGAGGUUCAAUGUUUUACACAUUGCUGGUCUGAUAGCUCAGCUUCAUUCACAGUGUUUGUGAGGCAAACAUGUUCCAAAGAAGGCCAGAAAAAGCCCAGCCAGGUUGAAUUCUGUGGAAAAUUCACCGAAAAGAUACAAUGCAUUUGAAACAAAACAAAACAAAACCAAAAAACACCUGCAGAAGUCCACUUGAAAAACCUGGGCUUAUUCACUCUCUGUGCCUCCCAUAUUCUAGAAGAUGUCUGCACAUAGAAUGUACAGAAAAAUGUCUGUCUUUGCCCAUGAUGGGAGAGGAAAGGCCAUUGUGUCUCUUGUUAGCAGAUCAAGAUUGGCAUUAGAGCUCAUCGAGGAGAACUGUGUCUUGACCAGCAUCCUUGAUCACUGAGGACACUGGUGGUCCUAUGUUGGUGAGGUGCCAGCUUUUCACACUCAGUCUUUUUCUAAUGCAGUCACUCCAGAGCCAUUUCUUAGCCAAUGAUCUCUGUCCUGUUGUCUCACAUAAAGUGAGCAGCCCCAUCUCUGUUACAUUCAAGUACUUACUAUUUGUGUUCAACUCUUUUGAUGAUAAGAAUGGCCAUAGUUUUCAAAGGAUCUGGGGUUUUCCACCCAUGCUUUCCUGCAUUUUUUCCCCUUUCAUGUCACCAUGAUCUGCCACCACCCUUGUUCCUACCUGCCCAGGUCAUGCCAUGUUCCAUGAGCAUGGAGGUGUGGAUUGGUGGCACCUCAUGAUUUUAUUUGUUAAUGAAUUUUUAACAAUUAACAUAGAAAUGAUUUGCCUGUAUUCAGUAAAUUAAUAUGAAUUGAACAUAAGAGUAGAGAAUUCACAGUUUUCUAAGCAACGAUUUCUGCUUUCAGGAAGUGUGAAGGCUAUUUGAAGGGAGCGAACACCACAAUAAAGAGUAGUUCAUGAUGCCACAGGGCAAGUACAAAUACUCUUUCCCAAAAGCUCACAGGGAGGUGAGGUCUAUGUGGGGAUGGAAUCCACUCACAGAGGAAUUUGAGCAGGAUCAUGAAGGCAUAGAACAUGCAGCGAUGAGAGCCACAGAGAGGAAAUGAAUGCAAGAUGUAAUGGCCAUGAAAGAUUAUGAACCAACCCCAUGCAGUUUACUGGGUCAACUGUGCCUAUUAAAAGGCAUAUUUCUUUCAUUAGCUAUGCACUUUAUGAUCAGGUUUUAUGCCCUGGCCCUAUGAAAGGAACUUGAAUGUAGAAUGUUUCACAGGCAGGGUGGUCAUUUUGAUUAGAGCACUUGCCUCCUUACCAGCCCUGCUGCUUCCAUAAACAUUUCAUCAGGAAUUUUCAUCAGUUCACACUCUCUGUGAGGCUCUUUAGACAUCCGAGCAAUGCUGCCAAGGGGAUGUUUGGUCUUUUAAAUUGUGAUGACAAAAUAAACUUUUAUGAACCCUCUUGCUCAAUAAACACAGCCUGGCAUUUUAAAUGUCAGCACAUCUCAAUUUUGUGAGAGGGUCUGCCUGAGAGGAUUGACUUGAAACUACACAGCAAAGAGGAGGUGCUAGUCCACAUUUGCGUGUUCCAUUUGCAUGAGCAAAAUGGACCUGAAGAUGGAGCUGCAGCAAGAGGGGAGGCACAUGUCCAAUAGCAAGGAAGCCAUCAAGAAUCCUUUAUUCUUGAAGGGGUAUGCAACAGACUGGAAAGGAUCUCAUUUUUCUUUGCUUUAAAUGCUUUGGUAAAUGUAAUAUGUUUCUACUUUUGGGGAAAGUUUAGGGGCUUUCAUAAUCAUGUUUGUGUUGACCUUCAACAACAGAGAUAAGCUGCUAUUCAGCCUUUUGAACCCCGAAAAGAGACCCAGGACUCUUAUACAUUAAGUAGUUAAUGCUGACUUUAUUGCUAUACCAAUACCAUGGUGACCAUUUCUGAUGAAAGAUUAGUAGGUAAUCUCAAGGUAGUUCUCAACCUCUUCUUUCACAAGCAAAGCAAAACAACAAUUGUGAUAUCCAUAGUCAAUACAUUCCUUGAUCUCACCUCAGUAACCAACUCUACCACUCCACCCCCCAAGUAGACACCCUAGUUGUUUUGCCUCUUAUUCUCACAAAGUAACCCUUGAAUGGUUAUCUUAAAGUUAAUUUUGCAUGUAACAGAAAGUGUAAGAUUUGUUCUUUAAAUAAAGAGUGAGAGCUGAACUGCACAUAUCAUUUUUUAGGCCCUUCAACUUCUCAGCAUGCUUGGUUUAGCCAAUGCAUGGCAUGGCUCAGUUGUUGAGUAAAUAUUUGUUAGAUGAAUAUGUGAAUCAAUACCUAAAAUAAGAAGCAGGCAUAUUGCCAUACCUUGCUAAAUAUCUCUACGGUCCUAAGAGAAGAGGAUCAGUGUUUAGUUUCUUGAUUUCCUUAAAUGUUAAUUUCUAUCUAUGAAUUGUCACAAAAUUACACUUAUAAAUCACUCACAUGGUCAUGCAUUCCC
This 2830-nucleotide long non-coding RNA is filed under the name Homo sapiens (human). RNAcentral describes it as "PREDICTED lncRNA (TCONS_00250762)". Lineage: Eukaryota; Metazoa; Chordata; Mammalia; Primates; Hominidae. The record is from RNAcentral.